RNAcentral lists this ribosomal RNA (495 nucleotides) under uncultured bacterium. RNAcentral's name for it is "partial 16S ribosomal RNA". It matches the Rfam family "Bacterial small subunit ribosomal RNA", at positions 28 to 507 of the family's 1533-position model. The record is from RNAcentral.
GAUGAACGCUGGCGGCGUGCCUAAUACAUGCAAGUAGAACGCUGAAGGAGGAGCUUGCUCUUCUGGAUGAGUUGCGAACGGGUGAGUAACGCGUAGGUAACCUGCCUGGUAGCGGGGGAUAACUAUUGGAAACGAUAGCUAAUACCGCAUGACAACAGUUAUUGCAUGAUAACUGUUUAAAAGGGGCAACUGCUCCACUACCAGAUGGACCUGCGUUGUAUUAGCUAGUUGGUGAGGUAACGGCUCACCAAGGCGACGAUACAUAGCCGACCUGAGAGGGUGAUCGGCCACACUGGGACUGAGACACGGCCCAGACUCCUACGGGAGGCAGCAGUAGGGAAUCGUCGGCAAUGGACGGAAGUCUGACCGAGAAACGCCGCGUGAGUGAAGAAGGUUUUCGGAUCGUAAAGCUCUGUUGUAAGAGAAGAACGAGUGUGAGAGUGGAAAGUUCACACUGUGACGGUAGCUUACCAGAAAGGGACGGCUAACUACGUG